This is a long non-coding RNA of Cucumis sativus (cucumber), 769 nucleotides long. RefSeq lists it as uncharacterized. The record is from RefSeq and is a predicted model, not a curated record. Lineage: Eukaryota; Viridiplantae; Streptophyta; Magnoliopsida; Cucurbitales; Cucurbitaceae. The transcript has 2 exons.
CUCGUUCCUGCGGUAAAAGUAUUAUUCUAUAAGAAAGAACCACAAAAGUUUAUAGAAAAAUGUACUUUAUUUUCUGAUUCUCUGGAAUCUCUACUAGUAAUAAUGCUUGUUUUCUCCUUUUUUUUUUUUUUUCUAAUACAUAUAUAUUCAAAUAAGAAAAGACAUUCUAGGACUCACAGAAAUACGAUGAAAAGAGCAAAAGAUGCUGUUCUCUCUUUUGCAGAAGGGGGUUUUUAAUGCACCUCCCAAAGCAAGCAGCUCAGAAUCCUAAGGAGGCCACAAAAUUUUCAAAGAAAAAGGCCCCAACUGCACAAUCUUCUGGUUUUGAUAUUGUCACAUUUGAAAGCACCUUAAAAAGAGGGCCUUCUGAGGCCAAACUAGAGUAUAGAUAAGGACAAGUAUUUUGAACUCGAGAAGAUGGUGAUGGGCAUAGUGGUUGAGCUGUAGACUUUUUAAUGUUUCAAAUCACUACAAAUGCUCACCGUUUUGGCUUCCAACCAAGGUGAAGUUGUGGUCCACUUCCUUUUUUCUUCUCUUUUUUAAUUUGUAGAUUCUUUUGAUUCAAUUUGAAGUUUGGCCAUAUGUUUAGGAAAGUUAUUAUUAUUAUUUUUUUUCUCAAUAGUGGUAUUAAGAAGGUUUGAAAGGACAUGAUUUUUCUUAUUUGUUUACUUUUUGGGAAUCUGCUAGAAGGCUGCUGUGUGUGGAUGGAUUGAAAUUUUGAAACUUUAGGAAGAGGGAAUGAUAUGGUUUAGAUUUAUUAUUGAUUUGA